UACGUAGGGUGCGAGCGUUGCCCGGAUUUAUUGGGCGUAAAGGGCGCGUAGGCGGUCGCGCACGUCCGUUGUGAAAUCGCUCGGCUCAACUGGGCGGGGUCAGCGGAUACGGCGUGGCUGGAGCAAGCUAGGGGGCAAUGGAAUUCCCGGUGUAGUGGUGGAAUGCGUAGAUAUCGGGAGGAACACCAGUGGCGAAGGCGGUUGCCUGGAGCUUUGCUGACGCUGAUGCGCGAAAGCGUGGGGAGCGAACAGG
Molecule: ribosomal RNA, 253 nt
Filed under: uncultured bacterium
Lineage: Bacteria
Description: partial 16S ribosomal RNA
Rfam family: Bacterial small subunit ribosomal RNA
Source: RNAcentral